UACGUAGGGUGCGAGCGUUGUCCGGAAUUAUUGGGCGUAAAGAGCUUGUAGGCGGUUUGUCGCGUCUGCUGUGAAAGUCCGAGGCUCAACCUCGGAUCUGCAGUGGGUACGGGCAGACUAGAGUGUGGUAGGGGAGACUGGAAUUCCUGGUGUAGCGGUGGAAUGCGCAGAUAUCGGGAGGAACACCAGUAGCGAAGGCGGCACUCUGGGCCGGUACUGACGCUGAGGAGCGAAAGCGUGGGGAGCGAACAGG
Molecule: ribosomal RNA, 253 nt
Filed under: uncultured bacterium
Lineage: Bacteria
Description: partial 16S ribosomal RNA
Rfam family: Bacterial small subunit ribosomal RNA
Source: RNAcentral